AAGAGGUUAGUUUAUUAAAAUGUUAAUCCGUCAGAUUAAAGAUAACUUACUGUUAUUUCUUU
Molecule: transfer RNA, 62 nt
Filed under: Tettigarcta crinita (hairy cicada)
Lineage: Eukaryota; Metazoa; Arthropoda; Insecta; Hemiptera; Tettigarctidae
Description: tRNA-Asp
Source: RNAcentral